UAGGGAAUCUUCCACAAUGGACGCAAGUCUGAUGGAGCAACGCCGCGUGAGUGAAGAAGGCUUUCGGGUCGUAAAACUCUGUUAUUGAAGAAGAACGUGUGUGACAGUAACUGGUCAUGCAGUGACGGUAUUCAAUCAGAAAGUCACGGCUAACUACGUGCCAGCAGCCGCGGUAAUACGUAGGUGGCAAGCGUUGUCCGGAUUUAUUGGGCGUAAAGCGAGUGCAGGCGGUCUUUUAAGUCUGAUGUGAAAGCCUUCGGCUUAACCGAGAAGGGCAUCGGAAACUGGG
Molecule: ribosomal RNA, 289 nt
Filed under: uncultured bacterium
Lineage: Bacteria
Description: partial 16S ribosomal RNA
Rfam family: Bacterial small subunit ribosomal RNA
Source: RNAcentral